CAAGGAGGAAGCUCGCCAUAGAGGCCACAUGCUGGGUGUUUGUUACUCCUCCUGUGCCUCUGGGAAGGUCUGAGAGAAGGACCAUGUAUCAUCUUAGCAGGGUGCUACUUCUUGGAGGCAGGUGAGUUCCCAGCAAUCUGAGUCUUUGGCACAGCCUGAGAUCAGGACAGGAGAAACAGCAGAGAGGCUCAUUCCCUGCCCUGUGGAUGCCUCUGUGGCAUGAUGAGCANUCCAGAAUAACCCACUUCAGCCACUAUGAGUACAAUGGGCAGAGGUGAAGCAGAAGCCACUGCAGCUGCAUAACCCAAUUCAGACUAGUCUCCCCCCAG
This 329-nucleotide RNase P RNA is filed under the name Salvator merianae (Argentine black and white tegu). Its description in RNAcentral is "Nuclear RNase P (ENSSMRG00000010159.1)". It matches the Rfam family "Nuclear RNase P". From Rfam's summary of the family: Ribonuclease P (RNase P) is a ubiquitous endoribonuclease, found in archaea, bacteria and eukarya as well as chloroplasts and mitochondria. Its best characterised activity is the generation of mature 5'-ends of tRNAs by cleaving the 5'-leader elements of precursor-tRNAs. The record is from RNAcentral. Lineage: Eukaryota; Metazoa; Chordata; Lepidosauria; Squamata; Teiidae.